Molecule: unclassified non-coding RNA, 43 nt
Filed under: Escherichia coli
Lineage: Bacteria; Pseudomonadati; Pseudomonadota; Gammaproteobacteria; Enterobacterales; Enterobacteriaceae
Description: rdlD
Rfam family: rdlD antitoxin
Source: RNAcentral
GUUCUGUUGUCAGGUUGUACCUCUCAACGUGCGGGGGUUUUCU